AUGAUUCCGGUCAUCGGCACCUCUCGCAUGUUGCGGAAGCCGAAGGCACCACCUAUAGAAAGGACUCGAGUCCCUCGAUCGAAAUCCCUGAUCAGACAGGAUUGCGGCGGCGCCACGACAGGUUGCCGGCCUGCAGUCCUUCUCACGGGACAAACUGCAUUCGUGGUGCGCUCUCGCUGCCUGCCGGCUUCGACGGUGUGGGCCGGGGCGCCACCCUUCGGCAGAUCCGCAAUCGAGUCGCGCGUCCGAUCUGCCGCCUCCCCUCGACGUCCACGGCUCCGUGCUCUUCCGCGACGUCCAGCGUUUCUCCCCGUUGUUUCUUUGCACGCCUAUCUCCAAGCACGAAGCCACGACGAGAUGGUCUGGUCUUGGUAUUAUGUUGAUAGUGAGGGUGCAAGGCUGAAGGGAAGCAGCUGGUUCUGUAGUUCUUUGUAUGCUUAUGGUAUCUUGGAUGAGGGUUACAAAUUCAGCUGCUGA
RNAcentral lists this ribosomal RNA (477 nucleotides) under Triticum aestivum (bread wheat). Its description in RNAcentral is "partial small subunit ribosomal RNA". Lineage: Eukaryota; Viridiplantae; Streptophyta; Magnoliopsida; Poales; Poaceae. The record is from RNAcentral.